UACGUAGGGUGCGAGCGUUAAUCGGAAUUACUGGGCUUAAAGCGUGCGCAGGCGGUUUUGUAAGCCCGAUGUGAAAUCCCCGGGCUUAACCUGGGAAUGGCAUUUGGGACUGCAAGGCUGGAGUGUGGCAGAGGAGACUGGAAUUCCUGGUGUAGCAGUGAAAUGCGUAGAUAUCAGGAGGAACACCAGUGGCGCAAGCGGCUGACUGGCCGAGACCUGACGCUGAGACGCGACGGCGUGGGGAGCGAACAGG
Molecule: ribosomal RNA, 253 nt
Filed under: uncultured bacterium
Lineage: Bacteria
Description: partial 16S ribosomal RNA
Rfam family: Bacterial small subunit ribosomal RNA
Source: RNAcentral